Molecule: ribosomal RNA, 928 nt
Filed under: Bacillus wiedmannii
Lineage: Bacteria; Bacillati; Bacillota; Bacilli; Caryophanales; Bacillaceae
Description: bacterial SSU rRNA
Rfam family: Bacterial small subunit ribosomal RNA
Source: RNAcentral
GCUGGCGGCGUGCCUAAUACAUGCAAGUCGAGCGAAUGGAUUAAGCGCUUGCUCUUAUGAAGUUAGCGGCGGACGGGUGAGUAACACGUGGGUAACCUGCCCAUAAGACUGGGAUAACUCCGGGAAACCGGGGCUAAUACCGGAUAACAUUUUGAACUGCAUGGUUCGAAAUUGAAAGGCGGCUUCGGCUGUCACUUAUGGAUGGACCCGCGUCGCAUUAGCUAGUUGGUGAGGUAACGGCUCACCAAGGCAACGAUGCGUAGCCGACCUGAGAGGGUGAUCGGCCACACUGGGACUGAGACACGGCCCAGACUCCUACGGGAGGCAGCAGUAGGGAAUCUUCCGCAAUGGACGAAAGUCUGACGGAGCAACGCCGCGUGAGUGAUGAAGGCUUUCGGGUCGUAAAACUCUGUUGUUAGGGAAGAACAAGUGCUAGUUGAAUAAGCUGGCACCUUGACGGUACCUAACCAGAAAGCCACGGCUAACUACGUGCCAGCAGCCGCGGUAAUACGUAGGUGGCAAGCGUUAUCCGGAAUUAUUGGGCGUAAAGCGCGCGCAGGUGGUUUCUUAAGUCUGAUGUGAAAGCCCACGGCUCAACCGUGGAGGGUCAUUGGAAACUGGGAGACUUGAGUGCAGAAGAGGAAAGUGGAAUUCCAUGUGUAGCGGUGAAAUGCGUAGAGAUAUGGAGGAACACCAGUGGCGAAAGCGACUUUCUGGUCUGUAACUGACACUGAGGCGCGAAAGCGUGGGGAGCAACAGGAUUAGAUACCCUGGUAGUCCACGCCGUAAACGAUGAGUGCUAAGUGUUAGAGGUUUUCCGCCCUUUAGUGCUGAAGUUAACGCAUUAAGCACUCCGCCUGGGGAGUACGGCCGCAAGGCUGAUACUCAAAGGAAAUGACGGGGGCCCGCACAAGCGUUGGAGCAUGUG